CAGUAGCCGCGGUAAUACGUAGGGUGCAAGCGUUAAUCGGAAUUACUGGGCGUAAAGCGUGCGCAGGCGGUUAUAUAAGACAGAUGUGAAAUCCCCGGGCUCAACCUGGGAACUGCAUUUGUGACUGUAUAGCUAGAGUACGGCAGAGGGGGAUGGAAUUCCGCGCGUAGCAGUGAAAUGCGUAGAUAUGCGGAGGAACACCGAUGGCGAAGGCAAUCCCCUGGGCCUGUACUGACGCUCAUGCACGAAAGCGUGGGGAGCAAACAGGAUUAGAUACCCCAGUAGUCCCUGUCUCUUAUAA
This 301-nucleotide ribosomal RNA is filed under the name uncultured bacterium. Its description in RNAcentral is "partial 16S ribosomal RNA". It matches the Rfam family "Bacterial small subunit ribosomal RNA", at positions 509 to 809 of the family's 1533-position model. The record is from RNAcentral.